Molecule: ribosomal RNA, 253 nt
Filed under: uncultured bacterium
Lineage: Bacteria
Description: partial 16S ribosomal RNA
Rfam family: Bacterial small subunit ribosomal RNA
Source: RNAcentral
UACGUAGGUGGCUAGCGUUGUCCGGAUUUACUGGGCGUAAAGAGCGCGCAGGCGGUCGUUCAAGUCGAGUGUGAAAGCCCUCGGCUCAACUGAGGAAGUGCACCCGAAACUGGCGAGCUUGAGUACGAAAGAGGAUCGCGGAAUUCCCGGUGUAGAGGUGAAAUUCGUAGAUAUCGGGAGGAACACCGGUGGCGAAGGCGGCCUGCUGGGACAAUGCUGACGCUGAGGCGCGACAGCGUGGGGAGCAAACAGG